Heterocephalus glaber (naked mole-rat) is the source of this 303-nucleotide long non-coding RNA. Lineage: Eukaryota; Metazoa; Chordata; Mammalia; Rodentia; Bathyergidae. The record is from Ensembl.
GAAGUGAUGGGUGGAAAGCAGUUUCCUCAGAAGGGAGUACGGAUACUGAAGGAGGUGGAGACAAUCUUUGUCAUCUUAGAAUAUAUGCGGUAAAUCAUCUUCCAGUGGAAGCUAACAGAAAAUCGUGGAGAUAAAUUCUCUUUGUGGUGGGAGAGAAUAAAACAGAUUCACCAAAAGAGGGACAAAUGGGAGAGGAACAAAGGACCUUGUUUCUCCAUCUUGGUUGAAAAUGAAAGCCCUGAAGUUUAUUUUUAAUGAAUGAUUUAUAAUAACAGAAAAGGUUACUAAUACCGUACAUCUCUU